Molecule: ribosomal RNA, 251 nt
Filed under: uncultured bacterium
Lineage: Bacteria
Description: partial 16S ribosomal RNA
Rfam family: Bacterial small subunit ribosomal RNA
Source: RNAcentral
ACGUAGGGUGCAAGCGUUGUCCGGAAUUACUGGGUGUAAAGGGAGCGCAGGCGGACCGGCAAGUUGGAAGUGAAAACUAUGGGCUCAACCCAUAAAUUGCUUUCAAAACUGCUGGCCUUGAGUAGUGCAGAGGUAGAUGGAAUUCCCGGUGUAGCGGUGGAAUGCGUAGAUAUCGGGAGGAACACCAGUGGCGAAGGCGACCUACUGGGCACCAACUGACGCUGAGGCUCGAAAGCAUGGGUAGCAAACAG